This 224-nucleotide unclassified non-coding RNA is filed under the name plant metagenome. Its description in RNAcentral is "partial contains small subunit ribosomal RNA, internal transcribed spacer 1, and 5.8S ribosomal RNA". The record is from RNAcentral.
GUCUCCGUUGGUGAACCAGCGGAGGGAUCAUUACAGGACUCGCAAUACUCAUUCACCCUGUGAACCUCAAUACAAGCACGUUGCUUCGGCGGGUGUCCCGGCGGGGGUUUUCCCUCGCCGGGGCGCACAGCCCGCCGGCAGCCUACUAUACUCUGUCUCUUUGCGUUGGCAUCUCGAGAAAAACCAACAAGUUAAAACUUUCAACAACGGAUCUCUUGGUUCUG